GUACAGAGGUUGACAUCGCCCAACCCUUGUAGUGCGGACAGUGACUCUGGUUGUAUAUGAGGCCAGCUGGGAGGUGCUGGCCCCUUUAAGGGACCUCAGAGGCAACA
Salvelinus sp. IW2-2015 is the source of this 107-nucleotide small nucleolar RNA. RefSeq annotates it as small nucleolar RNA SNORA70. Lineage: Eukaryota; Metazoa; Chordata; Actinopteri; Salmoniformes; Salmonidae. The transcript has a single exon. The record is from RefSeq and is a predicted model, not a curated record.